UGGCCCUUCUCCUUUGAGAAAUCGGCUACCUUUCCUCCCCAAGCAGAUCAUGUCUUGGUAGACUUCUUCUUAUCCAUGGCAGCUAGGAGGGUGCGGGGCCCCUGUGGGCGGAGGCCCCCCACACCUACCAUGUGGUACUCAGCACACAUU
Phyllostomus discolor (pale spear-nosed bat) is the source of this 150-nucleotide long non-coding RNA. RefSeq lists it as uncharacterized. NCBI's taxonomy places the organism in Eukaryota, Metazoa, Chordata, Mammalia, Chiroptera, Phyllostomidae. The record is from RefSeq and is a predicted model, not a curated record. The transcript has 4 exons.